This 542-nucleotide ribosomal RNA is filed under the name uncultured organism. RNAcentral's name for it is "bacterial SSU rRNA". It matches the Rfam family "Bacterial small subunit ribosomal RNA", at positions 91 to 667 of the family's 1533-position model. The record is from RNAcentral.
AUUAGCGGCGGACGGGUGAGUAACGCGUGGGAACGUGCCCUUCACUGCGGAAUAGCCCAGGGAAACUUGGAGUAGGAGGCGNAUACGCCCUUCGGGGGAGAGAAUUUCGGUGAGGGAUCGGCCCGCGUUGGAUUAGGUAGUUGGUGGGGUAAUGGCCUACCAAGCCGACGAUCCAUAGCUGGUUUGAGAGGAUGAUCAGCCACACUGGGACUGAGACACGGCCCAGACUCCUACGGGAGGCAGCAGUGCGGAAUCUUAGACGAGGGGGGGAAACCCUGAUCUAUCCAUGCCGCGUGAGUGACGAAGGCCCUAAGGUCGUAAAGCUCUUUCGCCAGGGAUGAUAAUGACAGUACCUGGUAAAGAAACCCCGUCUAACCCCGUGCCAGCAGCCGCGGUAAUACGGAGGGGGUUAGCGUUGUUCGGAAUUACUGGGCGUACAGCGCGCGUAGGCGGGCUGUUAAGUCGGGGGUGACAUCCCGGGGCUCUAUCCCGGAACUGGCUCCGAUACUGGCAGCCUAGAGUUCGAGAGAGGUGAGUGGAAU